CUGUGUCUGUUGAAGAAAGGCUCACAAGAUCCCAUGGAGGAUCCUCCCUUACCCAGAGCAAGAGCACAGCACUCCACGGUUUCCCUGCUGGAGCAAUGAGAAGCCAACACAGGCCCCAUGGAACGAGUUGGCAGCACAAGGCUGUGCAGACAUCUGGCGACUAUUGGAGCCAACAAGGAGAAAGCAUAGAAGCUGGGAGAGUCUCCCCUUCCUUGCACAAGAACUGAGACUUCCUUGGAGGGGCCAGCUUCAUCCUGGCAUUUCUCUUCUUUGGGGCUGGCAUCCAGAGGAUAGAAAAC
RNAcentral lists this long non-coding RNA (299 nucleotides) under Homo sapiens (human). Its description in RNAcentral is "HSALNT0279690". Lineage: Eukaryota; Metazoa; Chordata; Mammalia; Primates; Hominidae. The record is from RNAcentral.